RNAcentral lists this long non-coding RNA (250 nucleotides) under Linum usitatissimum (flax). Its description in RNAcentral is "long non-coding RNA (LUSI_LNC000551)". The record is from RNAcentral. Lineage: Eukaryota; Viridiplantae; Streptophyta; Magnoliopsida; Malpighiales; Linaceae.
CAUGGAGACAUAACUGAGAAAGGCAUCAACUUUAACUUCACAAAUAGCUUGAAAAACGAAAACUGAUCCUUAACUUCACCAAAGUACCACAAUCCUACCAGCUGUGUCAAAGCAUCCCUAACUGCCCAUCUCAUCAGAAUGAACCCGGUAAGUUUCUUGAGCCCCAAUCUAGAACCAUCCCAAACAAUGUCAGCAAAUGAAUUGAACCUUUUUAACAAAUCAUUCACCACAGCAACGAACACAAUUCCCA